AGAUGCCCAAGAGGAAGGGGAGCUCAACUGAAGGGAUGGUGAAGGAAGAGCCCAAGAGGAGAUUGGUGCAGUUGUCAACUAAACCUGCUCCUGAAAAAGUGGAAACAAGGCCAAAAAGGCAGCAGGAAAGAAUAAACCUUCGGACAAAAAAAAGUGCAAACAAAAGGGAAAAGGGGAGCAAAGGGAAAACGGGCUAAUCUAAAAACCAAAGACCAUUUACCUGCAGAAAAUGGAGAAACUAAACCAAGGAGAGUCCAGCCUCUGAUGAAGCGGUAGAGAAAGAAGCCCGGUCUGA
This 295-nucleotide long non-coding RNA is filed under the name Homo sapiens (human). Its description in RNAcentral is "non-protein coding lnc-MAP3K1-7:1". Lineage: Eukaryota; Metazoa; Chordata; Mammalia; Primates; Hominidae. The record is from RNAcentral.